This 301-nucleotide ribosomal RNA is filed under the name uncultured bacterium. RNAcentral's name for it is "partial 16S ribosomal RNA". It matches the Rfam family "Bacterial small subunit ribosomal RNA", at positions 509 to 809 of the family's 1533-position model. The record is from RNAcentral.
CAGUCGCCGCGGUAAUACGUAGGUGGCGAGCGUUGUCCGGAAUCAUUGGGCGUAAAGGGAGCGCAGGCGGGCAUGUAAGUCUUUCUUAAAAGUUCGGGGCUCAACCCCGUGAUGGGAAAGAAACUACAUGUCUUGAGUACAGGAGAGGAAAGCGGAAUUCCCAGUGUAGCGGUGAAAUGCGUAGAUAUUGGGAGGAACACCAGUGGCGAAGGCGGCUUUCUGGACUGCAACUGACGCUGAGGCUCGAAAGCCAGGGGAGCGAACGGGAUUAGAUACCCCUGUAGUCCCUGUCUCUUAUACA